RNAcentral lists this ribosomal RNA (84 nucleotides) under Escherichia coli. RNAcentral describes it as "partial 16S ribosomal RNA". It matches the Rfam family "Bacterial small subunit ribosomal RNA", at positions 1 to 84 of the family's 1533-position model. Lineage: Bacteria; Pseudomonadati; Pseudomonadota; Gammaproteobacteria; Enterobacterales; Enterobacteriaceae. RNAcentral also lists the same sequence under 69 other names. The record is from RNAcentral.
AAAUUGAAGAGUUUGAUCAUGGCUCAGAUUGAACGCUGGCGGCAGGCCUAACACAUGCAAGUCGAACGGUAACAGGAAGCAGCU